GGGACUCGAACUCAUAUGCAGAGUGGAGAGCCUUAUCAAGAAGAGGGCGUCAAGGACAUCAAGAAGGAAAUUGAGUUGGAGACCAAGGAAAAGCGAAACGGAAGAGAAUAACAACACAAAGAGCAAGAAUAAGACAGGCGUAGAGGUAGGGAUAGAUAUAGGGAAGGAGAUAGAGAUAGAGAUAGACACAGAGGAGGUAUAGAUAGAGAUGGGAGGGAGAGGCGAAGGGAAAGGUAUGAUAGAGAUGAGAGGCGUAGAGAUACACAUUAUAAUGAUGAUGGUGAUGACAGGGGAAGGCAUACAGAUCGAUACAAUAAGCAUAAGAGAGAUGGGUAUGAAGACGAUGGAGAUGUUAAGGAAGAUGGUGAUGAUAGGAGAGGUAAUAGGGAUCGGCAGAAUGGCCAGAGCCGUUCGGAUGAGCCCAAAUUGUAUCAGGUUUAUAAGGGCAGGGUUUCCAGAGUGAUGGACACCGGUUGCUUCGUUCAGUUGAAUGAUUUAAGAGGGAAUGAGAGUCUGGUUCACGUUUCAUAGAUGGCAACUCGGCGAAUUAGUAAUGCUAAGGAUGUGGUGAAGAGGGAUCAGGAAGUUUAUGUGAAGGUGAUUUCAAUUUCAGGUCAGAAGUUGAGCCUUUCGAUGAGGGAUGUUGAUCAAUAUACAGGGAAGGAUUUGCUCCCCUUGAAGAAGAGCUCAGAGGAUGAUGCUCUUAGGACGAACCCAUCUUUUUCAAAGGAUGGACCUGUGACUAGGACUGGUCUUUCCGGGAUUAGGAUUGUGGAAGAGGAUGAGGUUGGCCCAUCACGCUGGCCAUUGAAGAGAAUGAGUUCGCCAGAGAAGUGGGAAGCCAAACAGUUGAUUGCCUCAGGUGUUUUGGGUGUUACAGAGUAUCCUAUGUAUGAUGAGGAAACCGAUGGGAUGCUUUAUCAAGAAGAGGGAGCUGAGGAAGAGCUUGAGAUUGAGCUCAAUGAGGACGAGCCAGCCUUUUUAAAUGGACAGAGCAGGUAUUCUGUUGAUAUGUCACCUGUGAAAAUCUUUAAGAAUCCAGAAGGGUCACUGGGUCGUGCAGCUGCACUUCAGUCCGCACUCAUUAAGGAGCGUAGAGAAGUGCGUGAGCAGCAGCAAAGAACCAUGUUGGAUUCUAUCCCAAAGGAUCUCAAUCGUCCCUGGGAAGAUCCAAUGCCAGAGACUGGUGAGAGGCAUCUUGCACAAGAACUUAGAGGUGUUGGUUUAUCGGCAUAUGAUAUGCCUGAGUGGAAGAAGGAUGCUUUUGGGAAAACCAUCAGUUUUGGGCAGAGGUCAAAACUCUCAAUCCAGGAACAGAGGCAGAGCUUGCCUAUCUACAAGCUGAAGAAAGAAUUGAUUGCAGCGGUGCAUGAGAACCAAGUGCUUGUCGUCAUUGGUGAGACUGGUUCGGGUAAGACAACACAGGUAACACAGUAUCUUGCAGCAGUGGGUUACACGACAAUGGGUAAGAUUGAUUGUACACAGCCACGUAGGGUGGCUGCCAUGUCUGUGGCCAAGAGGGUUGCUGAAGAGUUUGGUUGUCGUUUAGGAGAGGAAGUCGGCUAUGCAAUUCGUUUUGAGGAUUGCACUGGUCCAGACACUGUCAUCAAGUACAUGACUGAUGGUAUGCUUCUUAGGGAGAUUUUGAUUGAUGAGAACCUUUCUCAGUAUUCUGUGGUCAUGCUUGAUGAAGCUCAUGAGAGGACAAUCCACACAGAUGUUCUUUUUGGACUACUGAAGAAGCUUGUGAAGCGGAGACCAGACCUUCGUUUGAUUGUCACAUCUGCUACCUUGGAUGCGGAGAAGUUUUCCGGUUAUUUCUUUAACUGUAACAUCUUCACUAUCCCUGGGAGAACUUUUCCUGUAGAGAUACUCUACACUAAACAGCCGGAAAGUGACUACCUUGAUGCAUCUCUAAUAACUGUUCUACAAAUACACUUGACAGAACCUGAAGGUGACAUUCUUCUUUUCUUGACUGGACAAGAAGAGAUUGAUUUUGCAUGCCAGUCUCUCUAUGAGAGGAUGAAAGGUCUUGGUAAAAAUGUCCCUGAGUUGAUUAUCCUACCAGUGUAUAGUGCCCUUCCUAGUGAAAUGCAGUCAAGGAUAUUUGAUCCUGCCCCACCAGGUAAGAGGAAAGUAGUUGUGGCUACUAAUAUUGCUGAGGCAUCACUGACCAUUGAUGGGAUAUUUUAUGUCAUUGAUCCUGGUUUUGCAAAGCAAAAUGUUUAUAACCCAAAGCAGGGGCUAGAUUCACUGGUCAUAACUCCAAUUUCCCAAGCAUCAGCUAAGCAACGAGCUGGGCGUGCUGGGCGUACAGGCCCUGGGAAAUGUUACCGCCUCUACACUGAGAGUGCAUACCGCAAUGAGAUGUCCCCUACUUCAAUUCCAGAAAUCCAGAGGAUAAAUCUUGGGACUACUACACUUACGAUGAAAGCUAUGGGGAUAAAUGAUCUCUUGUCUUUUGAUUUUAUGGAUCCUCCUUCACCCCAAGCACUCAUUUCUGCCAUGGAACAAUUGUACAGUUUAGGAGCACUGGAUGAGGAGGGGCUGCUCACCAAAUUGGGUAGGAAAAUGGCUGAGUUUCCUCUGGAUCCACCCUUGUCUAAGAUGCUAUUGGCCAGUGUGGACCUUGGAUGCAGUGAUGAGAUCUUGACCAUCAUUGCAAUGAUUCAGACUGGCAAUAUUUUUUACAGACCUAGGGAAAAACAAGCCCAGGCAGAUCAGAAGAGAGCCAAGUUUUUCCAGCCAGAGGGAGAUCAUCUGACUUUACUUGCAGUCUAUGAGGCAUGGAAAGCUAAGAAUUUUUCAGGGCCAUGGUGUUUUGAGAACUUUGUUCAGUCUCGAUCCUUGAGGAGGGCACAGGAUGUCAGAAAACAGCUUCUCAGCAUCAUGGACAAGUAUAAAGUGGAUGUUGUCAGUGCUGGAAAGAAUUUUCCAAAGAUCAGGAAGGCAAUUACGGCAGGGUUUUUCUUCCACGUGCUAGAAAGGACCCGCAGGAGGGUUAUAGAACCCCAGUGAAGAACCAACCAGUUUAUAUACACCCAAGCAGCGCCCUCUUCCAGAGACAACCAGAUUGGGGGAUCUACCAUGAACUGGUUAUGACUACAAAGGAGUACAUGCGCGAGGUGACGGUCGUCGACCCCAAAUGGCUCGUGGAACUGGCACCCAGGUUCUUCAAGGUGGCAGAUCCCACCAAGAUGAGCAAGCGCAAGCGUCAAGAACGUAUUGAACCGCUAUAUGAUAGAUACCAUGAACCUAACUCUUGGCGUCUUAGUAAGCGAUGUGCUUGAUAUGUGUGUCAUCUGGUGCUAUCAGCAUGAACUCGUCUUGGUCUUGUAUUGGUUUUUCUGUCUUAAUGUAAUAUGAAUAUCUUGUAAUUCCUUAAGCUAAUUUUUUGACAUUGAGAGCGGGAGAUCCUGUAUGGACUAUGGAGAAACUUUUGCCAACAAUUUUAGCUCAAUGGUCGUUAGCUUUUCAAACUUUUGUCAAAGUCGUAAGACUCAAGUUGAUUUUGGA
Prunus dulcis (almond) is the source of this 3516-nucleotide RNA transcript. It is a transcript of the gene named probable pre-mRNA-splicing factor ATP-dependent RNA helicase DEAH5, with no coding region annotated. The transcript is spliced from 2 exons. The record is from RefSeq and is a predicted model, not a curated record. Lineage: Eukaryota; Viridiplantae; Streptophyta; Magnoliopsida; Rosales; Rosaceae.